CAGUCGCCACGGUAAUACGAAGGGUGCAAGCGUUACUCGGAAUUACUGGGCGUAAAGCGUGCGUAGGUGGUGGUUUAAGUCCGUUGUGAAAGCCCUGGGCUCAACCUGGGAAUUGCAGUGGAUACUGGGUCACUAGAGUGUGGUAGAGGAUAGUGGAAUUUCCGGUGUCGCAGUGAAAUGCGUAGAGAUCGGAAGGAACAUCUGUGGCGAAGGCGACUAUCUGGGCCAACACUGACACUGAGGCACGAAAGCGUGGGGAGCAAACAGGAUUAGAUACCCCCGUAGUCCCUGUCUCUUAUAA
RNAcentral lists this ribosomal RNA (301 nucleotides) under uncultured bacterium. RNAcentral's name for it is "partial 16S ribosomal RNA". It matches the Rfam family "Bacterial small subunit ribosomal RNA", at positions 509 to 809 of the family's 1533-position model. The record is from RNAcentral.